RNAcentral lists this ribosomal RNA (1411 nucleotides) under Klebsiella pneumoniae subsp. pneumoniae LCT-KP214. RNAcentral describes it as "bacterial LSU rRNA". It matches the Rfam family "Bacterial large subunit ribosomal RNA", at positions 1537 to 2925 of the family's 2925-position model. Lineage: Bacteria; Pseudomonadati; Pseudomonadota; Gammaproteobacteria; Enterobacterales; Enterobacteriaceae. The record is from RNAcentral.
CAAAUCCGGAUAAUCAAGGCUGAGGUGUGAUGACGAGGCACUACGGUGCUGAAGUAACAAAUGCCCUGCUUCCAGGAAAAGCCUCUAAGCAUCAGGUAACAUCAAAUCGUACCCCAAACCGACACAGGUGGUCAGGUAGAGAAUACCAAGGCGCUUGAGAGAACUCGGGUGAAGGAACUAGGCAAAAUGGUGCCGUAACUUCGGGAGAAGGCACGCUGGUGUGUAGGUGAAGUCCCUGCGGGUGGAGCUGAGACCAGUCGAAGAUACCAGCUGGCUGCAACUGUUUAUUAAAAACACAGCACUGUGCAAACACGAAAGUGGACGUAUACGGUGUGACGCCUGCCCGGUGCCGGAAGGUUAAUUGAUGGGGUUAUCCGUAAGGAGAAGCUCUUGAUCGAAGCCCCGGUAAACGGCGGCCGUAACUAUAACGGUCCUAAGGUAGCGAAAUUCCUUGUCGGGUAAGUUCCGACCUGCACGAAUGGCGUAAUGAUGGCCAGGCUGUCUCCACCCGAGACUCAGUGAAAUUGAACUCGCUGUGAAGAUGCAGUGUACCCGCGGCAAGACGGAAAGACCCCGUGAACCUUUACUAUAGCUUGACACUGAACAUUGAGCCUUGAUGUGUAGGAUAGGUGGGAGGCUUUGAAGCGUGGACGCCAGUCUGCGUGGAGCCAACCUUGAAAUACCACCCUUUAAUGUUUGAUGUUCUAACGUUGGCCCCUGACCGGGGUUGCGGACAGUGUCUGGUGGGUAGUUUGACUGGGGCGGUCUCCUCCCAAAGCGUAACGGAGGAGCACGAAGGUUAGCUAAUCCUGGUCGGACAUCAGGAGGUUAGUGCAAUGGCAUAAGCUAGCUUGACUGCGAGCGUGACGGCGCGAGCAGGUGCGAAAGCAGGUCAUAGUGAUCCGGUGGUUCUGAAUGGAAGGGCCAUCGCUCAACGGAUAAAAGGUACUCCGGGGAUAACAGGCUGAUACCGCCCAAGAGUUCAUAUCGACGGCGGUGUUUGGCACCUCGAUGUCGGCUCAUCACAUCCUGGGGCUGAAGUAGGUCCCAAGGGUAUGGCUGUUCGCCAUUUAAAGUGGUACGCGAGCUGGGUUUAGAACGUCGUGAGACAGUUCGGUCCCUAUCUGCCGUGGGCGCUGGAGAAUUGAGGGGGGCUGCUCCUAGUACGAGAGGACCGGAGUGGACGCAUCACUGGUGUUCGGGUUGUCAUGCCAAUGGCACUGCCCGGUAGCUAAAUGCGGAAGAGAUAAGUGCUGAAAGCAUCUAAGCACGAAACUUGCCCCGAGAUGAGUUCUCCCUGAGACUAUAAGUCUCCUGAAGGAACGUUAAAGACGAUGACGUUGAUAGGCCGGGUGUGUAAGCGCAGCGAUGCGUUGAGCUAACCGGUACUAAUGAACCGUGAGGCUUAACC